GGAUGAUUGUAUUUGGAGAGAGGGCUUUGAAAGAGAUGUUAAAUUAAAAUAUGCAGUAGAGUAGGUCCUAAUCCAGGUUGACUAAGAUUAGGACAUAGAGACACCAAAGGUGCUUGUUGCCAGAGGGGCAACUUUUAGGUGAAGAGUCAGCAAAGCACUGUCAUCUCCUAGCCAGGGAGAGAGCCCUGGAACAGAUCCAACCCUUACGGGCCUCAGAGGAAACCAACCCUCUUGGCACCUUGAUCUUGGACUUCCAGGUUCCAUAACUGUGAGAAAAAUAAAUGUCUGUUGCUUAAGCCGUGCAGUCUGUGGUAUUUUGUUACAGCAACCUUACCAAACUAAUAUACCAGCGAUAACCUAAAGCAACUUUUUCUCCCUCGCUAGUUGUUUAUUUGUGAUGGCAGGAAGAAAAGCACUGAGAAUGGGAGUAUGUGAAAUGAAAAUGGGGUCUGUUAGUGGAAUUGGCUUGAAAGGAGGCUUGAGGUCAGCAGCCAGUGUGUGGCAAACUUAGGAAGGUAUUAGCUAAUGUCUAAGGUUUUGACUUGAUGAUUAUGUGUUGUGACUAUAACUAUUUGUAAUGCUGGAACUUAUAUACAUUUUCUCUUUUUCUCUUUAUGGACAGAUAUCAUCCAUUAAUUGCCACUUAUGGAAGAGGGAAGAACGUUGAGCAGAUAUCUAACUCUGAAGAUACAACCUCCAGCUCUACAUUUGAUACAGAAGAACUGCAGGGACGGUAAGAAGAUACAAAAUUGAACAAGUAGUUUUAAUGUUUUUUAUUUGUUUGCUUUUUAGGAAGGGACACAGUUUUCUCAAAUAAUAUUUAAAUUUGAAAUAGAAAUUUUUCUCCUAUUUGAAAUGCUAACUAGUCUUAAGAACUGUUCUUAAGAAAAUUUGUAUUUAAAAUAUUCUGACACUGUGUUGACUGAAAAUGUAGAGAUACUGAAUGAUUAAGAUAAUUUUUAUCCAUAGUCUAGUUGUAAAAAAAUGAAAUGUGACUAGUUAUAAUAGUAAUGACUCAUUAUAAAAACAAAUUUUAACAAUAAAUAUAAAGCUAUUAGUAAAUUUUUAAUUUUA
Molecule: long non-coding RNA, 1074 nt
Filed under: Canis lupus dingo (dingo)
Lineage: Eukaryota; Metazoa; Chordata; Mammalia; Carnivora; Canidae
Description: lncRNA (ENSCAFG00020007646.1)
Source: RNAcentral